Molecule: long non-coding RNA, 414 nt
Filed under: Sus scrofa (pig)
Lineage: Eukaryota; Metazoa; Chordata; Mammalia; Artiodactyla; Suidae
Description: lncRNA (ENSSSCG00045007977.1)
Source: RNAcentral
CUUCUUCUCUGGUCUUUUCAGAUGGACAAGCAUCAUUGGAAACCCCAGAGGUUCAAGGUAUAGGGAAGGUCGCAAGGCACCAAAGGGAAGAGGAUGGAAGAAAAAGAAAGAUGAUAAGAAAACUGCAGCACUGAGACAUCCCCAUCACAGCACGUGGCUGGUAAGCACUAAAACUUGGCAAUAUGGGUUCAAGUUUACACUAAUACUUAGAAGGAAUGAAAAUAAUAUUGAUUUCAGUUUAUUUUCUGUUUGCUGACCUAUUGAGCAGUGUUGCCUGGGUUGGGAGAAAACAGAAAUUACUUAUUUUAUUCUCAAUAACUUCUAGCUCCUAGAACCUUCCAGAACCUGAGCCCUCUUUCAUCUGCAGCCUCCUGCGUAUUGGCAGGCACUGGUGUUUGUUCCUGGCACUGCUGC